RNAcentral lists this small RNA (29 nucleotides) under Bombyx mori (domestic silkworm). RNAcentral's name for it is "ovarian small RNA-20648". Lineage: Eukaryota; Metazoa; Arthropoda; Insecta; Lepidoptera; Bombycidae. The record is from RNAcentral.
UACCCAGGAAUUAGCGGUAUGGUUUAAAA